GACGAACGCUGGCGGCGUGCUUAACACAUGCAAGUCGAACGGAAAGGCCCUGCUUUUGUGGGGUGCUCGAGUGGCGAACGGGUGAGUAACACGUGAGUAACCUGCCCUUGACUUUGGGAUAACUUCAGGAAACUGGGGCUAAUACCGGAUAGGAGCUCCUGCUGCAUGGUGGGGGUUGGAAAGUUUCGGCCGUUGGGGAUGGACUCGCGGCUUAUCAGCUUGUUGGUGGGGUAGUGGCUUACCAAGGCUUUGACGGGUAGCCGGCCUGAGAGGGUGACCGGCCACAUUGGGACUGAGAUACGGCCCAGACUCCUACGGGAGGCAGCAGUGGGGAUUAUUGCACAAUGGGCGGAAGCCUGAUGCAGCAACGCCGCGUGCGGGAUGACGGCCUUCGGGUUGUAAACCGCUUUCGCCUGUGACGAAGCGUGAGUGACGGUAAUGGGUAAAGAAGCACCGGCUAACUACGUG
This 468-nucleotide ribosomal RNA is filed under the name uncultured bacterium. Its description in RNAcentral is "partial 16S ribosomal RNA". It matches the Rfam family "Bacterial small subunit ribosomal RNA", at positions 28 to 507 of the family's 1533-position model. The record is from RNAcentral.